Long non-coding RNA from Apteryx rowi (Okarito brown kiwi), 1579 nucleotides. The record is from Ensembl. Lineage: Eukaryota; Metazoa; Chordata; Aves; Apterygiformes; Apterygidae.
CGGGGCCGCGUUACCUGCCGCGCUCCCGCGGCGCGCAGCCUCUCGCCCCGCUGCCCGCGGCCCCCCGGGCUCCCAAGGACGGAACCGCGCUGUCACAUGCUGGCGCUUCCCCAGCACCCACCUGUAACGUCGCGGCACUCGGGUGAAAGGGUCGGAGGAGCCCUCUUUAUCUCAGCCCGGUCAUUCCUGUCGUAUUCUGCACUUUCAAGCACCUAUCUUACCUGACUGAAUCAUCUAAACAGACGGUAUGCCACAUUCAGGCUGCUUCAGUCCAUUAUCAGGUGAGUGAAUUUCUCAAAGUCAAACAGUAAAGAUUUUAUACUAGCGUGAAGAACAGAUUAUAUGAACUCCACUUCCUUUCUUCAGUUAGUGGGGGCACUAUUUAGCAAUGAGAUGAAGGACAGAACCCAAAGCAAACAAGAGAAGCAUGGACAAUGGUGGAGGUUCAACUUGGGGCGGAAGACGCAAUCUCCAACUGCUUUUCCCAGGAUCUCACGAAUCACUUCAGGAGGAUGAGAGAGGCCAGCACUGACUUGAUUACUGGGAAACUUAUCUUGUCUGAAGAACGUUUCCAAACACUCAGUCGACUUGAGGUUGUCAUGAUAAGACAAUCUUCACAUCAGGAGGCUUUUUCAGAGAGGAAGAAGAAGCUCAGAUACAAGCAGGGUCCAAGCCUCAGAUCCAACUGUCAAGGAAGCUGAUGAACAAAAGGUCUUAAACUGACAUUUAGCUAGCAGUUAGAUGCUUAGGCACCUCAGUAGCACAAUUCAAAGCCAAGAUUCAUCUGCCACCUCAACCUGGCAACACCUCAGUUCAUGUUUCCUCCAGAGAAGUCAACACCCUGCUUUUACCCUAGAGCCGGGGGUUGGAGUACACACACAGACUAUGCAUCUGCAUAGACAUCCUUCAUCUGGCUGAGCAAACUUGAAUUUACUUGUGCACCCUGCUGGCUGAAUGGCUGUAACUCCCAGGGUGUCCUGUGGAGCCACGAAGAUCACUUAGCCACAAGAUCUAACUUCAAGUUUCUCAGCUUGCAUAAAGUUGUUCUACUUUAACAGGAGAGAUACAGACAGCAUUGUCCAAAAUGUUCAACAUCCCAGCAGUCAGAGCAGCUGGCACUGCUCUCUUAUGGCAAACACAGGCUUCUUCCUACAUGCAGAGGGGUGACUUGAACAGAGGCCUCUUACACUAUGGGUCAAACAGGGACUGUUAGAUAAAAACAUGUCUGGGGAGAGCAGGAAGCAGGGUGAGAGGAGGAACUUCUGUUGAGUUUUGUCAAAAAAGGCAGAGAUCAUAACAUAAUACCAAACUAUCAAAGGAGAUUUCAGGGCUGUUUCAAGUGCCAGCUUGCUUUUCCCCACAGGCUGGGGUUAUAUAUAUGACUGGUUAAAACAAGGGCCUUAAGCUAGUCAACAUGAACAGAUCUUAGGUGCUUCCCUCCUUGUGUGUUGACCUCAGUGGAUCAUGUUCUGAGAAGUUCAGCAACAAUACCCAAAUCUUCUGUGGCUUUUGCCCUCAAAUAAGGGCAAGUGCUCCCCUAAAACUAAAACUGAUUAACCUCUGAGGCAUCUCAGAAAGC